Molecule: non-coding RNA, 72 nt
Organism: Podarcis lilfordi (Lilford's wall lizard)
Lineage: Eukaryota; Metazoa; Chordata; Lepidosauria; Squamata; Lacertidae
Source: the annotation of a GenBank genome assembly
CCUGCAUAGCUCAGUUGGUGGAGCAUGAGAACUUUAAUCUCAGGGUUGUGGGUUCGAAUCCCACGUUGAGGA